UACGUAGGGUGCGAGCGUUGUCCGGAAUUACUGGGCGUAAAGAGCUCGUAGGUGGUUUGUCGCGUUGUUCGUGAAAACCGGGGGCUUAACCCUCGGCGUGCGGGCGAUACGGGCAGACUUGAGUACUGCAGGGGAGACUGGAAUUCCUGGUGUAGCGGUGGAAUGCGCAGAUAUCAGGAGGAACACCGAUGGCGAAGGCAGGUCUCUGGGCCACUACUGACGCUGAGAAGCGAAAGCGUGGGGAGCGAACAGG
RNAcentral lists this ribosomal RNA (253 nucleotides) under uncultured bacterium. Its description in RNAcentral is "partial 16S ribosomal RNA". It matches the Rfam family "Bacterial small subunit ribosomal RNA", at positions 524 to 776 of the family's 1533-position model. The record is from RNAcentral.